CCUACGGGUGGCAGCAGUGGGGAAUAUUGCACAAUGGGGGAAACCCUGAUGCAGCGACGCCGCGUGAGUGAAGAAGUAUUUCGGUACGUAAAGCUCUAUCAGCAGGGAAGAAGAAAGACGGUACCUGACUAAGAAGCCCCGGCUAACUACGUGCCAGCAGCCGCGGGAAUACGUAGGGGGCAAGCGUUAUCCGGAUUUACUGGGUGUAAAGGGAGCGUAGACGGCUGUGCAAGUCUGAAGUGAAAGCCCAGGGCUCAACCCUGGGACUGCUUUGGAAACUGUGGAGCUAGAGUGCUGGAGAGGUAAGUGGAAUGCCUAGGGUAGCGGUGAAAUGCGUAGAUAUUAGGAGGAACACCAGUGGCGAAGGCGGCUUACUGGACAGUAACUGACGUUGAGGCUCGAAAGCGUGGGGAGCAAACAGGAUUAGAUACCCUUGUAGUC
RNAcentral lists this ribosomal RNA (441 nucleotides) under uncultured bacterium. Its description in RNAcentral is "partial 16S ribosomal RNA". It matches the Rfam family "Bacterial small subunit ribosomal RNA", at positions 338 to 795 of the family's 1533-position model. The record is from RNAcentral.